CCUACGGGAGGCAGCAGUGAGGAAUAUUGGUCAAUGGGCGCGAGCCUGAACCAGCCAAGUCGCGUGAGGGAAGACGGUCCUAUGGAUUGUAAACCUCUUUUGUCGGGGAGCAAAAGACGCCACGCGUGGCGUUCCGAGAGUACCCGAAGAAAAAGCAUCGGCUAACUCCGUGCCAGCAGCCGCGGUAAUACGGAGGAUGCGAGCGUUAUCCGGAUUUAUUGUGUUUAAAGGGUGCGCAGGCGGAAGAUCAAGUCAGCGGUAAAAUUGAGAGGCUCAACCUCUUCGAGCCGUUGAAACUGGUUGUCUUGAGUGAGCGAGAGGUAUGCGGAAUGCGUGGUGUAGCGGUGAAAUGCAUAGAGAUCACGAAGAACUCCGAUUGCGAAGGCAGCAUACCGGCGCCCGACUGACGCUGAGGCACGAAAGCGUGGGUAUCGAACAGGAUUAGAUACCCGGGUAGUC
This 459-nucleotide ribosomal RNA is filed under the name uncultured bacterium. RNAcentral describes it as "partial 16S ribosomal RNA". It matches the Rfam family "Bacterial small subunit ribosomal RNA", at positions 338 to 795 of the family's 1533-position model. The record is from RNAcentral.